UGAAAAGUUAAAGGCUGCCCAGCGUCAUACGGCAGGGGAAAUGAAGAAGAUCCAGAUAUCACGGGACGAGGACAUGGCUCUCAUGCGGGAUCUCCGGGAGGAGAUGGAAAGGAUAAAGACAACACAGAUCCUCAUGGAGGGAGACAUAAAGAAGAUUAAGGAGUCACUUGCUUUAAUGAAGAAGCUGGAGGAGGACCUUAAAAAGCUGAGGGAGGAUGCAGCCAAGUGGAAAGACGAGAGCAAGAAGGAGAUCUCUCAGCAAAUUG
Non-coding RNA from Taeniopygia guttata (zebra finch), 266 nucleotides. The record is from RefSeq and is a predicted model, not a curated record. NCBI's taxonomy places the organism in Eukaryota, Metazoa, Chordata, Aves, Passeriformes, Estrildidae.